UAAUGUUAUAUGCUGUAAUUUCUUUUUGGUUUACUGUAUUGUUAGAUUGGUUAUAGAAAUGAUGUACGAGUAAACUGCAGAAUUGAUAGUCUUAUGACUGUGGAAAUGUGUUUCAUAUUGUUCAUAUAGCUACUUUGUGAUUUGAAUUAUAGUUAAAUACUGGAAAAAAAUGUUUUAACCUUAAGAAUUUAGUAACUAAGCUUAUGAUAUCUUCUGUGUAUAAUUAACUUACGGAAGUU
RNAcentral lists this long non-coding RNA (239 nucleotides) under Panax ginseng (ginseng). RNAcentral's name for it is "long non-coding RNA (PGIN_LNC010832)". The record is from RNAcentral. Lineage: Eukaryota; Viridiplantae; Streptophyta; Magnoliopsida; Apiales; Araliaceae.